This 410-nucleotide ribosomal RNA is filed under the name uncultured bacterium. RNAcentral describes it as "bacterial SSU rRNA". It matches the Rfam family "Bacterial small subunit ribosomal RNA", at positions 356 to 773 of the family's 1533-position model. The record is from RNAcentral.
AGGGAAUAUUGCGCAAUGGACGGAAGUCUGACGCAGCGACGCCGCGUGAGCGAUGAAGGCCUUCGGGUUGUAAAGCUCUGUCCUUGGGGAAGAAGGUCUUCGGACUUGACGGUACCCAAGAAGAAAGCCCCGGCUAACUACGUGCCAGCAGCCGCGGUAAUACGUAGGGGGCGAGCGUUGUCCGGAAUUACUGGGCGUAAAGGGUGCGUAGGCGGCCCUUUAAGUCAGAUGUGAAAGCCCGCAGCUUAACUGCGGAAUUGCAUUUGAAGCUGGAGGGCUUGAGUGUCGGAGAGGGUAGUGGAAUUCCCAGUGUAGCGGUGAAAUGCGUAGAUAUUGGGAGGAACACCAGUGGCGAAGGCGACUGCCUGGACGAUAACUGACGCUGAGGCGCGAGAGCGUGGGGAGCAAAC